AUGUUUGAUGUUCUAACCUGGCCCCGUGAUCCGGGGUAGGGACAGUGUCUGGUGGGUAGUUUGACUGGGGCGGUCUCCUCCCAAAGAGUAACGGAGGAGCACGAAGGUUAGCUAAUCCUGGUCGGACAUCAGGAGGUUAGUGCAAAGGCAUAAGCUAGCUUGACUGCGAGAGUGACGGCUCGAGCAGGUGCGAAAGCAGGUCUUAGUGAUCCGGUGGUUCUGAAUGGAAGGGCCAUCGCUCAACGGAUAAAAGGUACUCCGGGGAUAACAGGCUGAUACCGCCCAAGAGUUCAUAUCGACGGCGGUGUUUGGCACCUCGAUGUCGGCUCAUCACAUCCUGGGGCUGAAGUAGGUCCCAAGGGUAUGGCUGUUCGCCAUUUAAAGUGGUACGCGAGCUGGGUUUAGAACGUCGUGAGACAGUUCGGUCCCUAUCUGCCGUGGGCGUUGGAAGAUUGAGAGGGGCUGCUCCUAGUACGAGAGGACCGGAGUGGACGCACCGCUGGUGUUCGGGUUGUGAUGCCAAUUGCAUUGCCCGGUAGCUACGUGCGGAAAAGAUAAGCGCUGAAAGCAUCUAAGCGCGAAACUUGCCUCGAGAUGAGUCUU
Molecule: ribosomal RNA, 603 nt
Filed under: Edwardsiella piscicida
Lineage: Bacteria; Pseudomonadati; Pseudomonadota; Gammaproteobacteria; Enterobacterales; Hafniaceae
Description: partial 23S ribosomal RNA
Rfam family: Bacterial large subunit ribosomal RNA
Source: RNAcentral